AAUACCUGCCAGCCGUGACGUUUACAACAGAAGAAGCACCGGCUAACUCCGUGCCAGCAGCCGCGGUAAUACGGAGGGUGCGAGCGUUAAUCGGAAUUACUGGGCGUAAAGCGCACGCAGGCGGUUUGUUAAGCUAGAUGUGAAAGCCCCGGGCUCAACCUGGGAUGGUCAUUUAGAACUGGCAGACUAGAGUCUUGGAGAGGGGAGUGGAAUUCCAUGUGUAGCGGCGAAAUGCGUAGAUAUCUGGAGGAACAUCAGUGGCGAAGGCGACUCCCUGGCCAAAGACUGACGCUCAUGUGCGAAAGUGUGGGUAGCGAACAGGAUUAGAUACCCUGGUAGUCCACACCGUAAACGCUGUCUACUAGCUGUGUGUGAUUUUAAAUCGUGCGUAGCGAAGCUAACGCGCUAAGUAGACCGCCUGGGGAGUAC
Molecule: ribosomal RNA, 429 nt
Filed under: uncultured Alteromonas sp.
Lineage: Bacteria; Pseudomonadati; Pseudomonadota; Gammaproteobacteria; Alteromonadales; Alteromonadaceae
Description: bacterial SSU rRNA
Rfam family: Bacterial small subunit ribosomal RNA
Source: RNAcentral